Molecule: long non-coding RNA, 2168 nt
Organism: Hirundo rustica (Barn swallow)
Lineage: Eukaryota; Metazoa; Chordata; Aves; Passeriformes; Hirundinidae
Exons: 4
Source: RefSeq, a predicted model, not a curated record
UUUUCAGCUUCAUCUUUGGUGCUCACGAGUGUUGGAAAAUAACCCCGUGCUCCACCGGCCGUGUGAGGAAGGAAUCUCAGCUGGAGAGGGUGGAGCAGCCUGCUGAUUGUGAAAGUGCCAUUAGACAGCUUGUGGAAGAAGGCUCUUAGGUGUGAAAAUCGCUUUUCCCGUGCGGGCUGAAAAGGCCAACGUGGCAUUUGCAAAGCCCUGGUGAGCGUCAUCGGUGUGAAACUUCCCUCUGUCCCCUUUCCAAAUCCAACUCCCUGCCAAGCCGUCCCCGAGCAGCGUCGCUUUCCUUCCCACUGCAAGCCAGGAGAAACCUGGCUUCUUCCCCUUGCUUGCUCUCACAGCUGGCUGCUUGUUCCAACACGGAUCCUUACUGAACCCCUUGGUGCCUUUUCCAUGGGUUUGAUCCGCAUGAUCCAGGAGGCUUUGCCGGGUCAGCGUUCACCCGAGAGGAGGAAUAAAAGCCGGUGUCUGCCAAGUCAGGAUGUUUGACUGAAAUAGAAAGUGGAGGGGAAUGCAUCAGAAGGGUGAGGGUGGACAUCCCCAUCCCCUUCCCUUCUGCCCAAGUCUGGUCAGGCUGCCCUUGCACCAGGCUGAUAAAUGUCUUCUCGGGUGUAGGGUUGUCCCUGGGAUUCCUCAGAGGAACUGAAGGACCAUCAUUCACAGCUGCUGUGCUGGGAAUCUCCAUAUAUACAAGCACCUGUCAGGCAUUUAUGCCUUAUGCACUUUUACGGCAGCCUUUACGAUAGGUAGAGAAAAACUCCAUCUGCCUCUAGUGACCUUUUAAUCACCAAGGGAUGCCUUAGCUAAAAGCCCUCCAACCCGCUGCUUGGAGCCACUCGGCUUGAUGGGAGCUGCGGGACUCGCUCUGUCUCUCGUGGAAGGAGAACAGCUCUGCAUCUUCUAUGCCAGCAAAGAAAUCAGUUCUGGAAUACAACAAGUGUGGCAAUGCCUUUCCUGAGUCAGGAAAAUCAUGGCAUGGAGUUAUUUUUCACCUGAAGGCCCUCAGAUUCCUGGAGGAGGCUGGAGGCUCAGGCUGUCUGCAGCACAGAGGAAUGCAUCCCUCCAGCAGGAAGGCUCCCAACUUUAUAGAACUCUCAGCCCUGGGAGCUGGAUUUUCCCUGUGCCUCCUGGAUUCUUGACUAGAGGCUCCAUGUGCAGGCUUUUCCCAGGAAUCUGACCGCACAGGAGAUCAAUCUCUUCUUUCCCUGUGGAAAAGGGACAGCCCAGAGAAAAUUCCCAGGAGGAACAACAGGGAAGGCAGCCCAGCGAGCGUUUUGUCCAUCAGUGGUUUGGGUCUGCAGGCCCGGGAGACAAACCAUGUCCCAGCACACACAGACUUGCUGACAAAGCGAUGGGCAUUAGAGGGAAUAACAACAACAACAACAACAACAAUCAACAAAAACAUUUAAAAAAUCACUUUUCUCAGGGAACACUGGGCUGCAGAGCCUGUUUAUCCUGUCUGCCUGUUUAUUUGCUUUCUGCUGACUUACUGCAAUGCAUCCAGUGUGGGCCUUCAGGAACCGCAGGGAUUUCGGUGGCUCUUCAGUGGCCCAGCUCCUCCUCCCCCUUCAAAGCAGCCCAGCGCCGUUUGUGGGGCUGUUGCACAACCAGAGCAGCGCGGUAACAACACCCCGAGCGUGGAAAGCACAGAGCAAAACAAAGCGCUGAUGAAACUCUUGCAGUCUUUCCAGAUGCCUGUCCACAUCAAUGUCCCCCUGGGAAGCACGCAGAGUGAAAUAAAGCUCAGUGGGAGCCAGCCAGGGAACGGGCUGAGCUUCUCCUCUCCUUUCCCAGCCCAGUGCAAGAGUCUCAGGACACAAGGUUGCUCGGCAGGAUGUGCUGCCGGCUGCCAAAAAGAAGGAGGGAGCCUGGGUUUAUUUUUAUGUAGCUUCGGGAAGGAAAGGCAAGACAAGCUUCGCUUUGUGCUCCGAACUCAGAAGUUUGGAUGCGCAAAGUUUCAGCUCUUCUUCCCGACCGCCUGCCACAAGCAAUUCUGAGUCUUCCUGGGGGCUGCCCCGUGACUGUCAUUCCCACACCCUAAAAGGAGACAGGAUGAUUUAAACUCCUCAUCUAGAGGGAAAAUAAAAAUAAUAAUAAAAAAGGAAUCUGCCUGGGAAGAACAGAGGAGGCUUCUGCCUGCCUGCAGGGAGGAAGGCAUU